RNAcentral lists this ribosomal RNA (491 nucleotides) under Staphylococcus aureus. RNAcentral describes it as "bacterial SSU rRNA". It matches the Rfam family "Bacterial small subunit ribosomal RNA", at positions 1 to 473 of the family's 1533-position model. Lineage: Bacteria; Bacillati; Bacillota; Bacilli; Caryophanales; Staphylococcaceae. The record is from RNAcentral.
UUUUAUGGAGAGUUUGAUCCUGGCUCAGGAUGAACGCUGGCGGCGUGCCUAAUACAUGCAAGUCGAGCGAACGGACGAGAAGCUUGCUUCUCUGAUGUUAGCGGCGGACGGGUGAGUAACACGUGGAUAACCUACCUAUAAGACUGGGAUAACUUCGGGAAACCGGAGCUAAUACCGGAUAAUAUUUUGAACCGCAUGGUUCAAAAGUGAAAGACGGUCUUGCUGUCACUUAUAGAUGGAUCCGCGCUGCAUUAGCUAGUUGGUAAGGUAACGGCUUACCAAGGCAACGAUGCAUAGCCGACCUGAGAGGGUGAUCGGCCACACUGGAACUGAGACACGGUCCAGACUCCUACGGGAGGCAGCAGUAGGGAAUCUUCCGCAAUGGGCGAAAGCCUGACGGAGCAACGCCGCGUGAGUGAUGAAGGUCUUCGGAUCGUAAAACUCUGUUAUUAGGGAAGAACAUAUGUGUAAGUAACUGUGCACAUCUUGAC